GAUAAACGCUGGCGGCAUGCCUAAUACAUGCAAGUCGAACGGGGUUAGCGGGUGCUUGCAUUUGUUAACCUAGUGGCGAACGGGUGAGUAACAGGUAGGUAAUCUGCCUUACAGACUGGGACAACUUUUGGAAACGAAAGCUAAUACCGGAUAGGUCGAAAGAUUAAAGGCGCGUUUGCGCCGCUGUGAGAGGAGCCUGCCUCCGAUUAGCUAGUUGGUGGUGUAAGGGACUACCAAGGCGACGAUCGGUAGCCGGACUGAGAGGUUGAACGGCCACACUGGGACUGAGACACGGCCCAGACUCCUACGGGAGGCAGCAGUAGGGAAUCUUGCACAAUGGGCGGAAGCCUGAUGCAGCAAUGCCGCGUGAAUGAAGAAGUUUUUCGGAAUGUAAAAUUCUUUUAUUAAGGAAGAAAGGUAAGAAUAGGAAAUGAUUUUUAUUUGACGGUACUUAAUGAAUAAGGGACGGCUAACUACGUGCCAGCAGCCGCGGUAAUACGUAGGUCCCGAGCGUUAUCCGGAAUUAUUGGGCGUAAAGGGAGCGCAGGUGGUUUAAUAAGUCUGAUGUGAAAUUUUUGGGCUCAACCCAAACAGGUCAUUGGAAACUGUUAGACUUGAGAGCAGGAGAGGUAAGUGGAAUUCCUAGUGUAGCGGUGAAAUGCGUAGAGAUUAGGAGGAACACCAGUGGCGAAGGCGGCUUACUGGACUGCAUCUGACACUGAGGCUCGAAAGCGUGG
RNAcentral lists this ribosomal RNA (737 nucleotides) under uncultured bacterium. Its description in RNAcentral is "bacterial SSU rRNA". It matches the Rfam family "Bacterial small subunit ribosomal RNA", at positions 28 to 764 of the family's 1533-position model. The record is from RNAcentral.